RNAcentral lists this ribosomal RNA (502 nucleotides) under uncultured bacterium. RNAcentral describes it as "partial 16S ribosomal RNA". It matches the Rfam family "Bacterial small subunit ribosomal RNA", at positions 28 to 523 of the family's 1533-position model. The record is from RNAcentral.
GAUGAACGCUAGCGAUAGGCCUAACACAUGCAAGUCGAGGGGCAUCACGGAGUAGCAAUACUUUGGUGGCGACCGGCGCACGGGUGAGUAACGCGUAUGCAAUCUACCUACAACAGGGGGAUAACCCGGAGAAAUCCGGACUAAUACCGCAUAACACAGGGGUCCCGCAUGGGAAUAUUUGUUAAAGAUUUAUCGGUUGUAGAUGAGCAUGCGUUCCAUUAGGUAGUUGGUGAGGUAACGGCCCACCAAGCCUGCGAUGGAUAGGGGAACUGAGAGGUUUGGCCCCACACUGGAACUGAGACACGGACCAGACUCCUACGGGAGGCAGCAGUGAGGAAUAUUGGUCAAUGGGCGAGAGCCUGAACCAGCCAAAUCGCGUGAAGGAAGACUGCCUUAUGGGUUGUAAACUUCUUUUGUACAGGAAUAAAAAGAGGGACGUGUCCUUCAUUGCAUGUACUGUACGAAUAAGCAUCGGCUAACUCCGUGCCAGCCGCCGCCGUAA